CGAGUUUGGAUAGCAGAGAAGCGGAGAAAUUCGAUAGGAGCGACAAUGGGCGGAGGAAUGGAAGCUCACAAGAACAGAUUUAUUGAGGAUUGGGGUACUGCUAGAGAAAAUCUUGAGCAUAACUUCCGAUGGACUCGCCGGAAUUUCGCUAUUGUGGGUCUCUUUGGCAUCGCCAUUCCCCUCCUUGUUUACAAGGGCAUCGUCAGGGAAUUUCAUAUGCAAG
This 223-nucleotide unclassified non-coding RNA is filed under the name Hevea brasiliensis (rubber tree). Lineage: Eukaryota; Viridiplantae; Streptophyta; Magnoliopsida; Malpighiales; Euphorbiaceae. The record is from RNAcentral.